CUACGGGUCGCUGCAGUGGGGAAUAUUGCACAAUGGAGGGAACUCUGAUGCAGCAACGUCGCGUGGAGGAUGACACAUUUCGGUGCGUAAACUCCUUUUAUAUAAGAAGAUAAUGACGGUAUUAUAUGAAUAAGCACCGGCUAACUCCGUGCCAGCAGCCGCGGUAAUACGGGGGGUGCAAGCGUUACUCGGAAUCACUGGGCGUAAAGAGCAUGUAGGCUGGUUUGUAAGUUGGAAGUGAAAUCCUAUGGCUUAACCAUAGAACUGCUUCCAAAACUACUUACCUAGAGUAUGGGAGAGGUAGAUGGAAUUUCUGGUGUAGGGGUAAAAUCCGUAGAGAUCAGAAGGAAUACCGAUUGCGAAGGCGAUCUACUGGAACAUUACUGACGCUCAGAUGCGAAAGCGUGGGGAGCAAACAGGAUUAGAUACCCGUGUAGUC
Molecule: ribosomal RNA, 439 nt
Filed under: uncultured bacterium
Lineage: Bacteria
Description: partial 16S ribosomal RNA
Rfam family: Bacterial small subunit ribosomal RNA
Source: RNAcentral